Long non-coding RNA from Acomys russatus (golden spiny mouse), 664 nucleotides. RefSeq lists it as uncharacterized. The transcript has 5 exons. The record is from RefSeq and is a predicted model, not a curated record. NCBI's taxonomy places the organism in Eukaryota, Metazoa, Chordata, Mammalia, Rodentia, Muridae.
GGAGGCCGUGCGCGCCGCGCUCCCAGCCUCCAGCCGCGGCCGCUCCACCAGCCUGAGCUCUGGCUCCACGCCGCGCACUAGAACAGCUCAGGGGACUGACGGAGACAGAGCGUGCGCGGGGAGAGCGAGGCCAUUCCAGGAUCUGGAGCCUAUCCGCCCAGGAGGUGGGAACCUGGAGGGCGGGCGCCGGGAAGCUACAAGACGGGGACUCCCGGGACGUGCUUCGCUUCGGGAUGGGAACCUCCUACAUUGGCCCCAGUUGAGCGGCACGGCCACCCUGAGGCUUAAAGUCCUCCUCCCAAGCAGAUAUCUCCUGCAACCUCCUGAAAAGACGGGAACUCAGAGAUGAGUAUAACAAGGAGACUUCGCUGGCAGAUCUUGUUCACCAGAAAGUGACAUCGUUUGGUGGUGGGGAGCUGCCUGGGCUGAGGAUGUGCUCAGUAGUUAAAGCGCUUGUGAGAGCCCGAGGAAUGCACAACCACAGAACCCAUCAGAAACAGCGAGGGACCAUUAAGAGAUCUGUAAAGCUCAGAUGGAAGGAGCUGAAGGUGAAAUCUCAGACAUGCUGUCUGGCCCCUUGACCUCAGGCCCACUGGGAACUGCUCCUGCCCUGGGAACGGGCCUUGGAUACACUGGCCUGUGGGCAAGGUCUGUGAAACAGCAG